RNAcentral lists this small RNA (804 nucleotides) under Pongo abelii (Sumatran orangutan). Its description in RNAcentral is "processed transcript". The record is from RNAcentral. Lineage: Eukaryota; Metazoa; Chordata; Mammalia; Primates; Hominidae.
CGACUUUCGCGCAGGCAGCGGCAGCGGCGGCGGCGGGUCCCUGAGCUGGAAGCCGGAGAGCAAGCCCUGGAGGUUCACUCUUUCAAGAAGUCGUGUGCUGAGGUGUAAUGCUACACAAGUCAGAGGAAGGAAGGGUCCUGAAACACAUGGCCUGAUUGUUGGCAAAGGCAUCGUAAGAAGCUGGAGUUUAUUUCUGUUCUAACCCAUUACUGUAUAACUGUGAAUAGACACUAUGCAUAUUUGUUGGUCAGCAAAACCAAGAAACAAGAGCUAUGGCAGUUGAAAAAGUCUGUCUCAUUCCAGGGUGUUUUUCCUGGGUUUCAUCAUCAGGUACCUCCUCCCUUUCAUCUCAGCAAGAAUGUGGCACCUUUUACCGUUUGAUAAAGAUUAAGGACAUGUUCUUUGGUCGACAGCCAGAACUUAAAAUCUGCUGGAAUAGGGUCAGAGACCAUUUCAGCUGCAGCUGAGGAAAAUGAAAUUUUCAUUUUAUUUGGUGCCUUGUCCAGGGAGCACACUAACUCUUCCAGAAACGUGUCAGUGAAACGGAGAUCGUUUUGUGGAAUAGCAACCCAUGGUUAUGGCGAGUGACCCGACGUGAUCUGGGGGGCAGGCUGCAGAGGACUCAUGACAGCCUGUAGCUCCCCUGCUGAGGCAGUGUGGUUAUGUUCCCAGCAGUGGGGGGUCGGACGCCCUUCCUCAGAACUUUCUAGUUGCCCUCUACCUGACUCCUGACUUGUAUUCCUUUUAGCAGUAGCCUUCUUCCCUCGGGGAGCCAAAGAGUGUGAUGUGUGGCGCUAUAUUGUA